Molecule: long non-coding RNA, 368 nt
Organism: Prosopis cineraria
Lineage: Eukaryota; Viridiplantae; Streptophyta; Magnoliopsida; Fabales; Fabaceae
Exons: 3
Source: RefSeq, a predicted model, not a curated record
UCCUCUUCGUUUUCUGUUUUGGUUCUAUCUGUGGCGUCAUCUUCGAGUAACAGCUGGGAUGAGAAACCAAGUUGCCAGAGCUGCGGCAGUGCUGUUAUGAAUAUGGAUUAUUGUUGCUGAUUCAUUUCCUGUGUUUCCUUGCGAGUAGUGCUCAGUUUUCUGCGUCCCUGUUCUGCUGCAAUCUUCAUUUUCUUCUUCUUUCUCCUUUGUUGUCCGCUGCCAUCUGGGUUGAGAAGGGUGUGCAGAAGAAAGGGAACCUGACCAAAAUUGAAAGAAAGGAUAUCUUUAAAAAUUUUGAAGCUCCGACGAAUUGGUUAGCUGACGCCGAUUCUACCAGCAACCUCAAAAGGGCAACUAGCUACAGUGGG